AGUGAACGCUGGCGGCGUGCUUAACACAUGCAAGUCGAACGAGAACGGAUUAUAGCUUGCUAUAAUUGUCAGCUAAGUGGCGCACGGGUGAGUAAUGUAUAGGUAAUAUGCCUCUAACUAAGGGAUAACAAUUGGAAACGAUUGCUAAUACCUUAUAUUCCUUUUUAUCAAAAGAUAAAAAGGGAAAGAUUUAUUGGUAAGAGAUUAGCCUGUAUUGUAUCAGUUAGUUGGUGGGGUAAUGGCCUACCAAGACAAUGACGCAUAACUGGUUUGAGAGGAUGAUCAGUCACACUGGAACUGAGACACGGUCCAGACUCCUACGGGAGGCAGCAGUGGGGAAUAUUGCACAAUGGACGAAAGUCUGUUGCAGCAACGCCGCGUGGAGGAUGACACAUUUCGGUGCGUAAACUCCUUUUAUAUAAGAAGAUAAUGACGGUAUUAUAUGAAUAAGCACCGGCUAACUCCGUGCCAGCAGCCGCGGUAA
This 484-nucleotide ribosomal RNA is filed under the name uncultured bacterium. RNAcentral describes it as "partial 16S ribosomal RNA". It matches the Rfam family "Bacterial small subunit ribosomal RNA", at positions 29 to 523 of the family's 1533-position model. The record is from RNAcentral.